Molecule: ribosomal RNA, 433 nt
Filed under: uncultured bacterium
Lineage: Bacteria
Description: partial 16S ribosomal RNA
Rfam family: Bacterial small subunit ribosomal RNA
Source: RNAcentral
AACGAACGCUGGCGGCAUGCCUAACACAUGCAAGUCGAACGAGACCUUCGGGUCUAGUGGCGCACGGGUGCGUAACGCGUGGGAAUCUGCCCUUGGGUUCGGAAUAACAGUUGGAAACGACUGCUAAUACCGGAUGAUGACGUAAGUCCAAAGAUUUAUCGCCCAAGGAUGAGCCCGCGUAGGAUUAGCUAGUUGGUGAGGUAAAGGCUCACCAAGGCGACGAUCCUUAGCUGGUCUGAGAGGAUGAUCAGCCACAUUGGGACUGAGACACGGCCCAGACUCCUACGGGAGGCAGCAGUGGGGAAUAUUGGACAAUGGGCGAAAGCCUGAUCCAGCAAUGCCGCGUGAGUGAUGAAGGCCUUAGGGUUGUAAAGCUCUUUUACCCGGGAUGAUAAUGACAGUACCGGGAGAAUAAGCUCCGGCUAACUCCGUG